RNAcentral lists this ribosomal RNA (261 nucleotides) under uncultured bacterium. RNAcentral's name for it is "partial 16S ribosomal RNA". It matches the Rfam family "Bacterial small subunit ribosomal RNA", at positions 524 to 776 of the family's 1533-position model. The record is from RNAcentral.
UACGAGGGGGCGAGCGUUGUUCGGAAUUAUUGGGACGUAAGGGUGCGUAGGCCGGUUCCGCAAGUCCAUGUGUGGAAAUCCUUCGGGCCUCAACUCGAAGUCGUGCACGGGGAAACUGCGGGGCUUGAGUGUGGGAGAGGUGAGUGGAAAUUCUCGGUGUAGCGGUGAAAUGCGUAGAUAUCGGGAGGAACACCUGUGGCGAAAGCGGCCUCACUGGACCAUAACUGACGCUGAUGCACGAAAGCUGGGGGAGCAAACAGG